AGCGAAUAGAUACCCCGGUAGUCCACGCUGUAAACGAUGCGCACUAGGUGUCGGGGGUAUCGACCCCUCGGUGCCGCAGCUAAACGCGAUAAGUGCGCCGCCUGGGGACUACGGCCGCAAGGCUAAAACUCAAAGGAAUUGACGGGGGCCCGGCACAAGCAGCGGAGCGUGUGGUUUAAUUCGACGCAACGCGAAGAACCUUACCUGGGCUUGACAUGCGUGUGGUACGGAGCCGAAAGGCCGAGGACCCGCAAGGGAGCACGCACAGAUGCUGCAUGGCUGUCGUCAGCUCGUGCCGUGAGGUGUUGGGUUAAGUCCCGCAACGAGCGCAACCCUCGCUGCCAGUUACCAUGUCUGGCGGGACCGCCGGGUCCAACCCGGAGGAAGGUGGGGAUGACGUCAAGUCAGCACGGCUCUUACGUCCAGGGCUACACACACGCUACAAUGGCCGGUACAACGCGCAGCGAUGGGGCGACCCGGAGCGAAUCGCAGCAAAGCCGGUCUCAGUUGGGAUUGCA
Molecule: ribosomal RNA, 518 nt
Filed under: uncultured bacterium
Lineage: Bacteria
Description: bacterial SSU rRNA
Rfam family: Bacterial small subunit ribosomal RNA
Source: RNAcentral